GCGCUUAUUUCAGCAGCACAUAUACUAAAAAUUAGAAUGAUACAGAGAAGAUUAGCAUGGUCCCUGCACAGGGAUGACAUGCACAUUUUUGAAAAAAUUAGAAGAGAA
RNAcentral lists this small nuclear RNA (108 nucleotides) under Colobus angolensis palliatus. The record is from RNAcentral. Lineage: Eukaryota; Metazoa; Chordata; Mammalia; Primates; Cercopithecidae.